GGCACCGCCCAGUCCGCAGCCCCGGCCCGGCCCCGGCGGAGGCCAGGGCUUGGUCGGCACAGUGGGACCAGUAGAGCGGAAGGUGGCCGGUAGGCGCCGGAGCUGUCCGAGGCCUUUCAGCCCGCCCCCGACUCUGGAAAGGCCGCGCCAUCUCGCGUCUGGCAGGCCAGGCGCUGGGCCAGCGUCCGCAGCGGGGUCCGGCCCUGCCCCAGCGGGCCUGGCCUCUCCGCCCCACCCCGGGGACAGCUGGGCAUUGCUCGCUGCUCGUGGCUGCGCCGACGGCCGCGGGGCACCGGGGACGUGCGUCUGGCGUUUCCUAGUCUGGGAGAGAGAUGUCGUUGAAACCAUUCACCUAUCCAUUGCCCGAAACAAGAUUUCUUCAUGCUGGCAGGCAUGUGUACAAAUUUAAAAUCCGGUAUGGCAACUUCAACAGGAAGUGAUUCGAGUAAUCCUUGGAAAUCUUGAUGAUUUACAUCCAUUUUCUACACACCACUUCACCAUCUUUCCAUGUAUCCUUUCUUUCCUACUCAUAAAAGAAAAGAUUCAAUGACUUUAUCUGUUGGGCAUUGCAUAAGUCAACAUUUAUGUGUAGGAGUGUGCAGAUCUUCAGCUGGAGUAGUACUACUUCAGUCUUUGCAGUUUGACAUUGGCUGAAGGUAUUCUGAACACCUUAGGUGUUGCCGUCACCAAGAACUGCUGUGACGAGAGUGUUUUGCAAUGUUUUCAUCCUAAAGGCUCUAUGUUCCAAAUUAGGUUUAGCCAGAGCAAAUAAAGGUGUACAUAAAGUGCCA
RNAcentral lists this long non-coding RNA (791 nucleotides) under Lonchura striata (white-rumped munia). RNAcentral describes it as "domestica (Bengalese finch) lncRNA (ENSLSDG00000005935.1)". Lineage: Eukaryota; Metazoa; Chordata; Aves; Passeriformes; Estrildidae. The record is from RNAcentral.